This 54-nucleotide transfer RNA is filed under the name Olea europaea (common olive). RNAcentral's name for it is "partial tRNA-His". The record is from RNAcentral. Lineage: Eukaryota; Viridiplantae; Streptophyta; Magnoliopsida; Lamiales; Oleaceae.
AGGGGCGGAUGUAGCCAAGGGAUAAGGCAGUGGAUUGUGAAUCCACCAUGCGCG